This 468-nucleotide ribosomal RNA is filed under the name uncultured bacterium. RNAcentral describes it as "partial 16S ribosomal RNA". It matches the Rfam family "Bacterial small subunit ribosomal RNA", at positions 28 to 507 of the family's 1533-position model. The record is from RNAcentral.
GACGAACGCUGGCGGCGUGCUUAACACAUGCAAGUCGAACGGAAAGGCCCUGCUUUUGUGGGGUGCUCGAGUGGCGAACGGGUGAGUAACACGUGAGUAACCUGCCCUUGACUUUGGGAUAACUUCAGGAAACUGGGGCUAAUACCGGAUAGGAGCUCCUGCUGCAUGGUGGGGGUUGGAUAGUUUCGGCGGUCGGGGAUGGACUCGCGGCUUAUCAGCUUGUUGGUGGGGUAGUGGCUUACCAAGGCUUUGACGGGUAGCCGGCCUGAGAGGGUGACCGGCCACAUUGGGACUGAGAGACGGCGCAGACUCCUACGGUAGGCAGAGGUGGGGAAUAUGGCACAAUGGGCGGAAGCCUGAUGCAGCAACGCCGCGGGCGGGAUGACGGCCUUCGGGUUGUAAACCGCAUUCGCCUGUGACGAAGCGGGAGUGACGGUAAUGAGUAAAGAAGCACCGGCUAACUACGUG